GGAAGCAAUUCAUAAGUAAAAAAUGCAUAACGACGUUCAAUCUAAGGUAUGGAAGUUAACAAUAUUUUUAAGAUCCAAAAAUAAGACAAAAAAUCAGUAGGUACAAUUAGGUGGCAAAUUCAGUAUUAUUAACCUAUUUCAAACUUGAAUAAAAGUAUGAGCCAAUGACAUACCAGAGCAUAAACACAUACUUUCCUACCUAAUAUCUUAGUCCUUGUCUUUCCAUUGCCUCAUCCAAACAAGCAACCAUAUAUAUUCAAAUAGUGUAUAGCUAAUGAGUGCCAUAAAUAUAUACUGCCAAAACAGAGGACCUCAAUUUUAAGCAUAUACCUUAUCAAUGUUGUUGUUAGAACAAUUAGACUCGAAUUCCGAGAGCCGAUUUAAGCCAAAUAAGAGGUAUGUUAUUCUUCAACUUUGAAAGCUAUAAGAUAAGCAGCCUAUAACUCCUUUCAAAAUUCUGAGUGUGACAAUUAGCUCCCAUUAACUUCAAAUUUGUACCUAACAUGCUUAAACAUUCAACAAGGCACUUUAAAUUUAGAAGGAAAUUGGAUUAAUUUAGUAUACAUGUUAAAUUUGAUUCAACAAGUGUGUUUCAAGAUUACAUGGGGCUAUUUGCUAGAUAGUCAAAGUAGAAGGGGUUACUUGCAUUUUAAUGAAAGGCUGUAACACAAAAUCACUCCAAAAUGUAUUUCAAUUAUGUACCUGAGAUAUCAUUAAUGCCAAAAUGAAAGUUCUUCAUUUGUCUCGACCGCAAAGCUCUUACACUAGCAUCAUCAGUUUAAGCCUGGAGCAUCAUACAAGGAAAAU
Molecule: long non-coding RNA, 807 nt
Filed under: Trifolium pratense (red clover)
Lineage: Eukaryota; Viridiplantae; Streptophyta; Magnoliopsida; Fabales; Fabaceae
Description: long non-coding RNA (TPRA_LNC005256)
Source: RNAcentral